Molecule: ribosomal RNA, 518 nt
Filed under: uncultured Actinomycetes bacterium
Lineage: Bacteria; Bacillati; Actinomycetota; Actinomycetes
Description: bacterial SSU rRNA
Rfam family: Bacterial small subunit ribosomal RNA
Source: RNAcentral
UUGCGCAAUGAGCGAAAGCUUGACGCAGCGACGCCGCGUGCGGGAUGAAGGCCCUCGGGUCGUAAACCGCUUUCAGCAGGGACGAAACUGACGGUACCUGCAGAAGAAGCCCCGGCCAACUACGUGCCAGCAGCCGCGGUAAUACGUAGGGGGCAAGCGUUGUCCGGAUUUAUUGGGCGUAAAGAGCUCGUAGGCGGUUCGACAAGCCGACGGUGAAAUCUCCACGCUCAACGUGGAGGGGUCCGUCGGAACUGUCGUGACUAGAGUCCGGUAGGGGAGUGUGGAAUUUCCGGUGUAGCGGUGAAAUGCGCAGAGAUCGGAAGGAACACCCGUAGCGAAGGCGGCACUCUGGGCCGGUACUGACGCUGAGGAGCGAAAGCGUGGGGAGCAAACAGGAUUAGAUACCCUGGUAGUCCACGCCGUAAACGUUGGGCACUAGGUGUGGGGCUCUAUCAACGGGCUCCGUGCCGUAGCUAACGCAUUAAGUGCCCCGCCUGGGGAGUACGGCCGCAAGGCUA